Molecule: ribosomal RNA, 486 nt
Filed under: uncultured bacterium
Lineage: Bacteria
Description: partial 16S ribosomal RNA
Rfam family: Bacterial small subunit ribosomal RNA
Source: RNAcentral
AUUGAACGCUGGCGACAUGCCUUACACAUGCAAGUCGAACGGCAGCACGGGUGCUUGCACCUGGUGGCGAGUGGCGAACGGGUGAGUAAUACAUCGGAACAUGUCCUGUAGUGGGGGAUAGCCCGGCGAAAGCCGGAUUAAUACCGCAUACGAUCUACGGAUGAAAGCGGGGGACCUUCGGGCCUCGCGCUAUCGGGUUGGCCGAUGGCUGAUUAGCUAGUUGGUGGGGUAAAGGCCUACCAAGGCGACGAUCAGUAGCUGGUCUGAGAGGACGACCAGUCACACUGGGACUGAGACACGGCCCAGACUCCUACGGGAGGCAGCAGUGGGGAAUUUUGGACAAUGGGCGAAAGCCUGAUCCAGCAAUGCCGCGUGUGUGAAGAAGGCCUUCGGGUUGUAAAGCACUUUUGUCUGGAAAGAAAUCCUUGGCCCUAAUACGGUCGGGGGAUGACGGUACCGGAAGAAUAAGCACCGGCUAACUACGUG